UACGAAGGGGGCUAGCGUUGUUCGGAUUUACUGGGCGUAAAGCGCACGUAGGCGGAUCGAUCAGUCAGGGGUGAAAUCCCAGAGCUCAACUCUGGAACUGCCUUUGAUACUGUCGAUCUGGAGUAUGGAAGAGGUGAGUGGAAUUCCGAGUGUAGAGGUGAAAUUCGUAGAUAUUCGGAGGAACACCAGUGGCGAAGGCGGCGAUCUGGACGAUGACUGACGCUGAGACGCGAAAGCGUGGGGAGCAAACAGG
This 253-nucleotide ribosomal RNA is filed under the name uncultured bacterium. Its description in RNAcentral is "partial 16S ribosomal RNA". It matches the Rfam family "Bacterial small subunit ribosomal RNA", at positions 524 to 776 of the family's 1533-position model. The record is from RNAcentral.